Long non-coding RNA from Salvelinus fontinalis (brook trout), 2028 nucleotides. RefSeq lists it as uncharacterized. NCBI's taxonomy places the organism in Eukaryota, Metazoa, Chordata, Actinopteri, Salmoniformes, Salmonidae. The record is from RefSeq and is a predicted model, not a curated record. The transcript has 2 exons.
UUCCUAACUGUUUUCUUGAGAAUUAUAAACCCUUGUGACAAUAUUCCAGUAUGUUAAGUGUUAAUGAUCGUUUUUUGAGACCUUAAUGUGUAAGGAACACAUGUUCUGUGGGCGUUCACAGAUGGGCUGUCAUUUAGGCUGCUUCAGCCACCUGACAGCAUGCCCAAGUAGACAACACUAAAACAAAUGCUGGGUUAGAAACAACCCAAUUAUUUAUUUAUUUUUGGUAGCCCAGCACAGGGUAAAUAAUGGACAGAACACAAGCUGGGUUAUUUUGACCCAGACAGUUGGGUUCCCAGCCAGCAAUGGGGUGGCCGGACCUGAUUGAAUCAGUCCGGUAUCGGGUGUCAGACUCGGCCCGGAAUCAAAAUGAAUGACUGCCCAGAAUCGGCCAAAGUACAUCGGGCUGUUUCCGUCUACCGAAAUUCAGCCAUUUUACCAGAAUCCCCCCAGAAGCGGCCCGAUGCAAACGUAAAUAAAUGUAUACAAAAUCAUCCGAUUUAGUCAUAUUAAAUAUUACUAUUAUACAUUGUAUACAUACAAAUUAUACCCAUCUACAAAGUGUUUUUUUACACCCCCUUUUCGUCAUAUCCAAUUGGUAGUUACAGUCUUGUCCCAUCACUGAAAUUCCUGUACAGCUUCUGGAGAAGUGUAGGUCGAGAGCCGUGCGUCCUCCAAAACACAACCCCGCCAAGCCGCACUGCUUCUUGACACAAUGCACGCCAAUUGUGCGUCGCCUCACAUGCAUGGACACUAGAUAACGGUACAUUUCCGCGUGUCGCUUAGGCCGCCUGUUGUGACUCGCUGGCAGCAUAUGGCAGCACAUAGCAUGUGCAUCAAGAAUUCAGCAUAGCAAGUUCGUAUGAAGGUCUGGUUAUUAAAUGGGUACAUAGUUCAAUAGUAAUAUCCUCUAAAACACUUUGGUGACAAACAAACUUUGCUCCCCUGUUUACAAUUGUCCACGUGGCUGGGAGGACCUAUUCAAAUAAAGAGAGCUAUGAAAGUCUGUCUACAUAUGAAGAGCAGUGGUUCUCAGUCCUGGUACUGGGGACUCAAAGGGGACUCAAAGGGGUGCACAUUUUUGUUUUUGCUUUAGCACUGCACAGCUGAUUCAAAUGAUUAACUCCUCAUCAAGCUACAAGUGGUAUUUAUGUAUUCAUUCGUGAUGCUAUCCUUGAUAUGAUCCUGUUAUUGCACAAAUGUGUGCCCAUGCAUCUAUCAAUCCAAUGUUAUCAUGAUUUGUUAUCAGGAAUAUUAUACUUUAGUAAUCCACAAUGACCUGGUGAUGUAACAGUCAAAUAAUUACAUUGUCUUCCAUAUUCCUACAGAUAUCUUGUAACUGGAGAUUACUUCGAAACGAUUGCCUACAGUUAACGUGUAGGGCACUGCAGGGUUGGGUGACCAUGGCCAUCUGGGACUUUCUCCUGGAGGAAUUCAGGUGUGUGAAGGCUACCAGUGUCCUGCAUAACUUCAUGUGAAUGGACACGAGGACCAGGGGGGAUCUGCAGCUCGCCGCAGUGUGCCAGAGGAGAAGUCUGCUGCUCUGCAGGAUGUUUCAAGGAUGGGGUCCAACAAAGCAACAAGAGACGCAAUCCAUGUGUGGGAGAUUUUCACCUCCUACAAUUAGACACCCUAUUACCUACACACUCAUGUCUCAAUCUGAUUGAUGGAUUGUGUUGUGCAGUAAGCAGGCUCAGGUGUAUUACUGUCUCCUUCCACCUUCAAAGAAUAGGCAAGAGGGCCAACCAUGGAGAAUAGUAAGACACUAUAUUAUUUGUUUAACUACGCUAUAUUGUUUUGUCAUCGUGUGUACGUUCAUGUUUUUCAGCAUAAAGUACUCAGCAGCCGCAGAUUCCUGUUUUCCCUUUAACUACCUUAUUUUCUCAAUAACAGUCUCUCUCCUUCACUUCAUCCCUCUUCUUCCUAAAUCCUCUAGGUUAUAUCAGCUGUGUCGGUUUUGCAUUUCAUCUGAUUAAUAUGAUGAGUAACAAUGUUAGAAUAAAAAAUAAAAACAAGGCUUAAACAUGC